AUGUUUCCCAACCCCUGCUACCUAGAGCUUAUAUCUCUAGCUCCUCUAACUAGAUUAAUCAGAAGGCACAUCAACAUUGUCGUCAUUGGACACGUCGACUCCGGCAAGUCCACCACCACCGGACAUCUGAUCUACAAAUGUGGUGGCAUCGACAAGAGAACCAUUGAGAAGUUUGAGAAGGAGGCUGCCGAGAUGGGAAAGGGCUCCUUCAAGUACGCCUGGGUCUUGGAUAAACUGAAGGCUGAGCAGGAACGCAGUAUCACCAUUGACAUCUCCCUGUGGAAAUUUGAGACCAGCAAGUAUUAUGUGACCAUCAUUGAUGCCCCAGGACACAGGGAUUUCAUCAAGAACAUGAUUACAGGCACAUCUCAGGCUGAUUGUGCUAUCCUCAUUGUUGCUGCUGGCGUCGGUGAAUUUGAAGCUGGUAUCUCCAAGAAUGGGCAGACCCGUGAGCAUGCCCUUCUGGCUUACACAAUGGGUGUGAAACAGCUCAUUGUUAGUGUUAACAAAAUGGAUUCCACGGAGCCACCCUACAGACAGAAGAGAUACGAGGAAAUCGUUAAGGAAGUCAGCACCUACAUUAAGAAGAUUGGCUAUAAUCCUGACACAGUGGCAUUUGUGCCAAUUUCUGGUUGGAAUGGUGACAACAUGCUGGAGCCAAGUGCCAAUAUGCCUUGGUUCAAGGGAUGGAAAGUCACAUGUAAAGAUGGCAGUGCCAGUGGAACCACCUUGCUCAAGGCUUUGGACUGCAUCCUGCCACCAACCCGUCCCACUGACGCCUGUCCCUUCAGGAUGUCUACAAAAUUGGUGGUAUUGGUACCGUCCCUGUGGGCCGAGUGGAAACUGGUGUUCUCAAGCCUGGCAUGGUGGUUACCUUUGCUCCUGUCAAUGUCACCACUGAAGUGAAGUCUGUUGAAAUGCAUCACGAAGCUUUGAGUGAAGCUCUUCCUGGGGACAAUGUGGGAUUCAAUGUCAAGAACGUGUCAGUCAAAGAUGUUUGCCGAGGCAAUGUGGCUGGGGAUAGCAAGAACGAUCCACCCGUGGAAGCAGCUGGCUUCACAGCUCAGGUGAUCAUCCUGAACCAUCCAGGCCAAAUUAGUGCUGGCUAUGCCCCUGUGCUGGAUUGUCACACUGCUCACAUUGCCUGCAAGUUUGCUGAGCUGAAAGAGAAGAUUGAUCGCCGUUCUGGUAAGAAGCUGGAAGAUGGCCCUAAAUUCCUGAAGUCUGGUGAUGCUGCUAUCGUUGAUAUGUUUCUAGGCAAGCCCAUAUGUGUGGAGAGCUUCUCUGACUAUCUUCCUCUGGGUCAUUUUGCUGUUCGUGACAUGCGGCAGACAGUUGCUGUGAGUGUCAUCAAAGCCGUGGACAAGAAGGCUGUUGGAGCUGACAAGGUCACCAAGUCUGCCCAGAAAGCUCAGAAGGCUAAAUGAAUAUUACCCCCAACACCUGCAACUUCAGUCUUAACCAGUGGUGGAAGAACGGUCUCAGAACUGUUUAUCUCAAUUGGCCAUUUAAGUUUAAUAGUAAAAGACUGGUUAAUGAUAACAAUGCAUCGUAAAACCUUCAGAAGGAAAGGAAAAUGUUUUGUGGACCAUUUUUUUGUGUGGUAGUUUUAAGUUAUUAGUUUUUAAAAAUCAGUACUUUUUGAUGGAAACAACAUGACCAAAAAUCUGUCACAGAAUUUUGAGACCCAUUAAAACAGUUUAAUGAGAAAAAAAAAAA
This is an RNA transcript of Perognathus longimembris pacificus (Pacific pocket mouse), 1719 nucleotides long. It is a transcript of the gene named elongation factor 1-alpha 1-like, with no coding region annotated. The record is from RefSeq and is a predicted model, not a curated record. Lineage: Eukaryota; Metazoa; Chordata; Mammalia; Rodentia; Heteromyidae. The transcript is spliced from 3 exons.